RNAcentral lists this ribosomal RNA (253 nucleotides) under uncultured bacterium. RNAcentral's name for it is "partial 16S ribosomal RNA". It matches the Rfam family "Bacterial small subunit ribosomal RNA", at positions 524 to 776 of the family's 1533-position model. The record is from RNAcentral.
UACGGAGGGUGCGAGCGUUGUCCGGAAUCACUGGGCGUAAAGGGCGCGUAGGUGGCGCGGCAAGCCAACGGUGAAAGCUCGACGCUCAACGUCGAGUCGGCCGUCGAUACUGCCGCGCUCGAGCACUGUAGAGGCAGAUGGAAUUCCGGGUGUAGCGGUGGAAUGCGUAGAGAUCCGGAAGAACACCGGUGGCGAAGGCGGUCUGCUGGGCAGUUGCUGACACUGAGGCGCGACAGCGUGGGGAGCAAACAGG